CAGCCGCCGCGGGAAAACGAAGGGGGCUAGCGUAGCUCGGAAUGACUGGGCGUAAAGGGCGCGUAGGCGGCGGCCAAAGUCAGGCGUGAAAUUCCCGGGCUCAACCUGGGGGCUGCGUUUGAUACUUGGUUGCUUGAGUGGGGAAGAGGGUCGUGGAAUUCCCAGUGUAGAGGUGAAAUUCGUAGAUAUUGGGAAGAACACCGGUGGCGAAGGCGGCGACCUGGUCCUUUACUGACGCUGAGGCGCGAAAGCGUGGGGAGCAAACAGGAUUAGAUACCCCCGUAGUCCCUGUCUCUUAUAC
Molecule: ribosomal RNA, 301 nt
Filed under: uncultured bacterium
Lineage: Bacteria
Description: partial 16S ribosomal RNA
Rfam family: Bacterial small subunit ribosomal RNA
Source: RNAcentral